This 503-nucleotide ribosomal RNA is filed under the name Salmonella enterica. RNAcentral's name for it is "partial 23S ribosomal RNA". It matches the Rfam family "Bacterial large subunit ribosomal RNA", at positions 161 to 706 of the family's 2925-position model. The record is from RNAcentral. Lineage: Bacteria; Pseudomonadati; Pseudomonadota; Gammaproteobacteria; Enterobacterales; Enterobacteriaceae.
AAUCCAUAGGUUAAUGAGGCGAACCGGGGGAACUGAAACAUCUAAGUACCCCGAGGAAAAGAAAUCAACCGAGAUUCCCCCAGUAGCGGCGAGCGAACGGGGAGGAGCCCAGAGCCUGAAUCAGCAUGUGUGUUAGUGGAAGCGUCUGGAAAGGCGCGCGAUACAGGGUGACAGCCCCGUACACAAAAGCGCAUGUGCUGUGAGCUCGAUGAGUAGGGCGGGACACGUGGUAUCCUGUCUGAAUAUGGGGGGACCAUCCUCCAAGGCUAAAUACUCCUGACUGACCGAUAGUGAACCAGUACCGUGAGGGAAAGGCGAAAAGAACCCCGGCGAGGGGAGUGAAAAAGAACCUGAAACCGUGUACGUACAAGCAGUGGGAGCACCCUUUGGGUGUGACUGCGUACCUUUUGUAUAAUGGGUCAGCGACUUAUAUUCUGUAGCAAGGUUAACCGAAUAGGGGAGCCGGAGGGAAACCGAGUCUUAACCGGGCGUUAAGUUGCAGG